Molecule: ribosomal RNA, 728 nt
Filed under: Streptomyces sp. YIM132
Lineage: Bacteria; Bacillati; Actinomycetota; Actinomycetes; Kitasatosporales; Streptomycetaceae
Description: bacterial SSU rRNA
Rfam family: Bacterial small subunit ribosomal RNA
Source: RNAcentral
GCAAGUCGAACGAUGAAGCCUUUCGGGGUGGAUUAGUGGCGAACGGGUGAGUAACACGUGGGCAAUCUGCCCUUCACUCUGGGACAAGCCCUGGAAACGGGGUCUAAUACCGGAUAACACUCUGUCCCGCAUGGGACGGGGUUAAAAGCUCCGGCGGUGAAGGAUGAGCCCGCGGCCUAUCAGCUUGUUGGUGGGGUAAUGGCCUACCAAGGCGACGACGGGUAGCCGGCCUGAGAGGGCGACCGGCCACACUGGGACUGAGACACGGCCCAGACUCCUACGGGAGGCAGCAGUGGGGAAUAUUGCACAAUGGGCGAAAGCCUGAUGCAGCGACGCCGCGUGAGGGAUGACGGCCUUCGGGUUGUAAACCUCUUUCAGCAGGGAAGAAGCGAAAGUGACGGUACCUGCAGAAGAAGCGCCGGCUAACUACGUGCCAGCAGCCGCGGUAAUACGUAGGGCGCAAGCGUUGUCCGGAAUUAUUGGGCGUAAAGAGCUCGUAGGCGGCUUGUCACGUCGGAUGUGAAAGCCCGGGGCUUAACCCCGGGUCUGCAUUCGAUACGGGCUAGCUAGAGUGUGGUAGGGGAGAUCGGAAUUCCUGGUGUAGCGGUGAAAUGCGCAGAUAUCAGGAGGAACACCGGUGGCGAAGGCGGAUCUCUGGGCCAUUACUGACGCUGAGGAGCGAAAGCGUGGGGAGCGAACAGGAUUAGAUACCCUGGUAGUCCACGCCG